CAGAGCGUAGCCAAAUUAGAAUAGCGUCUCCCUUACACUGAGAAGGUACCUGUGCAAGUCAGGUCGCCCUGA
This 72-nucleotide transfer RNA is filed under the name Atherinella panamensis (Panama silverside). RNAcentral's name for it is "tRNA-Val". It matches the Rfam family "tRNA". Rfam says of the family: Transfer RNA (tRNA) molecules are approximately 80 nucleotides in length. Lineage: Eukaryota; Metazoa; Chordata; Actinopteri; Atheriniformes; Atherinopsidae. The record is from RNAcentral.